GCCCACGUGCACUGAAGACCUCCUUCCAAUGACUAUAGAGGUCAUAUCUAAAUCUCUUAAGCAAUCUCCUCGAUAUCAAAGUCGUGCUGCAUAAAUAAUAUACAACAUAUAAGAUUUAAAAAAAAUAAAAGUUAAGUACUUAUCAAAUUAAAUAUAAAAUAAAUAGAAAGAUCUGUAUUUAAAAAAUAUAACAUAAUUUAUAUUUAGUUACUGAUAAAU
RNAcentral lists this long non-coding RNA (219 nucleotides) under Elaeis guineensis (African oil palm). Its description in RNAcentral is "long non-coding RNA (EGUI_LNC077583)". The record is from RNAcentral. Lineage: Eukaryota; Viridiplantae; Streptophyta; Magnoliopsida; Arecales; Arecaceae.